AUACAGUAGACGAGUCUCAAAUAGGACGAAAUGAGCGUCCUGGAU
Schistosoma mansoni is the source of this 45-nucleotide non-coding RNA. The record is from Rfam. NCBI's taxonomy places the organism in Eukaryota, Metazoa, Platyhelminthes, Trematoda, Strigeidida, Schistosomatidae.